GGCUUCUAGCUUGCUUGCACGUGUGUAGCGGUGUCUCACCGCCGUCCCUUCCCCUUAUACCCUUGUCUUCUCCUUAGAUUCGGGAGCGAGUGCGAAGGGAGAAGCCGGUGUCAUCUAUUGUUGCAGAAGGUCCCCGCGCGGUGCUCCGAGGGAAUUCCCCCAGGGGUCGAGGAGGUGGCCAGGUACUUUUGCAAACGAAGUUCCCCAACAUAUGUGGAAGACAGGCCCUCCUGCGGUACCUGGGUCCAAAAAGGAGGGUUGAACAAAAGGCUCCGGAGGUGAUGUUUGACUCCUUCCCCUGUAGUCGCCUCCGCCUCCACCACCAGUGCUUAAAAACCUAAUUUUCCAGGGACUCCAAACCACAUCACGUUAAACGUCAUCUCAAUAACUUUUAGUUAGAAGGCAUCCACCUUCCACUAUCACUCCCACUUCGUGAAAACUUUGAUAAGGUUGCAAGUUACAGUCUUCUAAUUUGUGCAUGGGUAUGAUUUCUCUGGCAUGGGGGAGUGAACCUUACUGUUUUCCUAAGUUAAGAGUAUAUUUAUCUGGGCUGGUGAGAGUGUUUACUGCCAAGCCUGAUGACCUGAGGUCAAACCCCAGGACCCAUAUGUUGGAAUGACUAAACUGACUCCAGCAAAUUGUUUUCUGAACCUCCACAUAAGCACGGUGCCACACUUGCUUCCAAAUAAUAAAUAUAAAUAAGUAUGAGUAUAUGAAAAUAAAUAUAAAUAUGUAAAGUAA
Molecule: long non-coding RNA, 741 nt
Organism: Grammomys surdaster
Lineage: Eukaryota; Metazoa; Chordata; Mammalia; Rodentia; Muridae
Exons: 2
Source: RefSeq, a predicted model, not a curated record